UAAAGCCUUUGGGGCAAGGUGAAAAAGAGUAAAAUCUUUUAAUUCCUGACCGGCGGUAUAGCCCGCGAACCGUUUUUUACGGUUGAUCUGGUUCAAUUCCAGAGCCGACAGUAUAGUCUGGAUGGUAAAAGGCGUAA
RNAcentral lists this non-coding RNA (137 nucleotides) under Sporomusa sphaeroides. Its description in RNAcentral is "Sporomusa sp. FMN sequence". It matches the Rfam family "FMN riboswitch aptamer (RFN element)". Rfam says of the family: The RFN element is a highly conserved domain that is found frequently in the 5'-untranslated regions of prokaryotic mRNAs that encode for flavin mononucleotide (FMN) biosynthesis and transport proteins. This element is a metabolite-dependent riboswitch that directly binds FMN in the absence of proteins. The record is from RNAcentral. RNAcentral also lists the same sequence under 1 other name. Lineage: Bacteria; Bacillati; Bacillota; Negativicutes; Selenomonadales; Sporomusaceae.